This 85-nucleotide transfer RNA is filed under the name Felis catus (domestic cat). It matches the Rfam family "tRNA". From Rfam's summary of the family: Transfer RNA (tRNA) molecules are approximately 80 nucleotides in length. The record is from Rfam by way of RNAcentral. RNAcentral also lists the same sequence under 1 other name. Lineage: Eukaryota; Metazoa; Chordata; Mammalia; Carnivora; Felidae.
GCCUGGGUGGCUCAGUCGGUUAAGCGUUCGACUUGGGCUCGAGUCAUGAUCUCACUGCUUGUGGGUUCAAGCCCCAUGUUGGGCU